CGGAUUGCAGGCUGCAACCCGCCUGUAUGAAGUUGGAAUCGCUAGUAAUCGCGGAUCAGCAUGCCGCGGUGAAUACGUUCCCGGGCCUUGUACACACCGCCCGUCACACCAUGAGAGUCGGGAACACCCGAAGUCCGUAGCCUAACCGCAAGGAGGGCGCGGCCGAAGGUGGGUUCGAUAAUUGGGUGAAGUCGUAACAAGGUAGC
This 206-nucleotide ribosomal RNA is filed under the name uncultured bacterium. RNAcentral describes it as "partial 16S ribosomal RNA". It matches the Rfam family "Bacterial small subunit ribosomal RNA", at positions 1294 to 1500 of the family's 1533-position model. The record is from RNAcentral.